Molecule: ribosomal RNA, 424 nt
Filed under: uncultured bacterium
Lineage: Bacteria
Description: bacterial SSU rRNA
Rfam family: Bacterial small subunit ribosomal RNA
Source: RNAcentral
UGGGGAAUAUUGGACAAUGGGCGAAAGCCUGAUCCAGCAAUGCCGCGUGAGUGAUGAAGGCCUUAGGGUUGUAAAGCUCUUUUACCCGGGAUGAUAAUGACAGUACCGGGAGAAUAAGCUCCGGCUAACUCCGUGCCAGCAGCCGCGGUAAUACGGAGGGAGCUAGCGUUGUUCGGAAUUACUGGGCGUAAAGCGCACGUAGGCGGCUAUUUAAGUCAGAGGUGAAAGCCCGGGGCUCAACCCCGGAAUAGCCUUUGAAACUAGAUAGCUUGAAUCCAGGAGAGGUGAGUGGAAUUCCGAGUGUAGAGGUGAAAUUCGUAGAUAUUCGGAAGAACACCAGUGGCGAAGGCGGCUCACUGGACUGGUAUUGACGCUGAGGUGCGAAAGCGUGGGGAGCAAACAGGAUUAGAUACCCCCGUAGUCC